This 253-nucleotide ribosomal RNA is filed under the name uncultured bacterium. RNAcentral's name for it is "partial 16S ribosomal RNA". It matches the Rfam family "Bacterial small subunit ribosomal RNA", at positions 524 to 776 of the family's 1533-position model. The record is from RNAcentral.
UACGAGGGGUGCAAGCGUUGCUCGGAAUUAUUGGGCGUAAAGGGUAGGUAGGUGGUCUCAUUUGUCUGGGGUGAAAGCCUUGAGCUUAACUCAAGAAGUGCCCCAGAAACGGUGAGACUGGAGUCCUGGAGAGGGUCGUGGAAUUCCCGGUGUAGCGGUGAAAUGCGUAGAGAUCGGGAGGAACACCAGAGGCGAAAGCGGCGACCUGGACAGGUACUGACACUCAACUACGAAAGCGUGGGGAGCAAACAGG